CAGAAUGCUCAAAACUAAUGUAAGGAAAAUUUAUGAACAGGCAGAGUAGCUACAUAAAUAUAGUCAACAGGGCCAAGGAAUUAGGGAUACCCUGACCUCCUGGCUCCCUAACUUAACAUGGGUACUACCCCUAGUAGGUCCCCUAAUAACUUUGUUGCUCUUAUUACUUUUAGAACCUUGUUUAAUUUACUUGUUAAAUUUGUAUCUUCUAGACUUAAGCAGUUCCAUGUCAAAUUGAUGAUUCUCCAGGGUUUCCAACCAAUCCCUGAGAGUGAUGUUGAAGCUGACCAACACACAGCAUCCAUGAUGGCCUCAGGAAUCCCUCUUCAACCACUAGAUA
Phyllostomus discolor (pale spear-nosed bat) is the source of this 340-nucleotide long non-coding RNA. RefSeq lists it as uncharacterized. The record is from RefSeq and is a predicted model, not a curated record. The transcript has 3 exons. NCBI's taxonomy places the organism in Eukaryota, Metazoa, Chordata, Mammalia, Chiroptera, Phyllostomidae.